UUCCUGGGUAGCAUCUGGGUGCUUCA
Molecule: small RNA, 26 nt
Filed under: Bombyx mori (domestic silkworm)
Lineage: Eukaryota; Metazoa; Arthropoda; Insecta; Lepidoptera; Bombycidae
Description: ovarian small RNA-37338
Source: RNAcentral